GGAGAAAGAAAAUGAGGCCCAAGGGAAGAUAAAGUUUGCUUCAUCUAGUUUUAUGAGUGCUGGUCUGGGCUGGCCUAGGCUGGCCCUGUUUAUCUUUGGGCACUUGGAGACAUUCUUGUCCUGUGUGACCAGCCCUGCCUAGCUGGGGCGCAUGCCCAGAAGUGGUUUCUUGCUGAAGAUCUGAAGGCCUAGGGACAGGAGGGCUCUGUGCAUUUUUAAGGGCUUGCCUUCCAUCGGAAACAUCCGUGAAUGUAGGCUGAUACACCCUGAGUACGUCCCCAACAAGCUCUCCUGCAUUCAGCAGCGGGGGACACGGACAGCCCCCACCUCAAGUGUGUAUUCCGAAGUGUGAAGAGCUCCUAGUGACUUGCCUUACAAAUGGAGCUGGCUGAGGCCAUUAACUGUUUCAUAUUACAUGGCAGCUUUUAACCUCCAGUCUAAGAGAGCUUAAUGAGCAAUCGCCUGUCGAAUUUCAGGA
Long non-coding RNA from Hyaena hyaena (striped hyena), 478 nucleotides. RefSeq lists it as uncharacterized. The record is from RefSeq and is a predicted model, not a curated record. NCBI's taxonomy places the organism in Eukaryota, Metazoa, Chordata, Mammalia, Carnivora, Hyaenidae. The transcript is spliced from 2 exons.